ACUCCUACGGGAGGCAGCAGUGGGGAAUAUUGCACAAUGGGCGCAAGCCUGAUGCAGCCAUGCCGCGUGUAUGAAGAAGGCCUUCGGGUUGUAAAGUACUUUCAGCAGUGAAGGAAGUGGUAUGUUAAUAGCAUAUUCAUUUGACGUUAGCUGCAGAAGAAGCACCGGCUAACUCCGUGCCAGCAGCCGCGGUAAUACGGAGGGUGCGAGCGUUAAUCGGAAUUACUGGGCGUAAAGCGCAUGCAGGUGGUUUGUUAAGUCAGAUGUGAAAGCCCGGGGCUCAA
Molecule: ribosomal RNA, 284 nt
Filed under: uncultured bacterium
Lineage: Bacteria
Description: partial 16S ribosomal RNA
Rfam family: Bacterial small subunit ribosomal RNA
Source: RNAcentral